UACGGAAGGGGCAAGCGUUGUUCGGAAUUACUGGGCGUAAAGAGCGCGCAGGCGGCUUACCAAGUUGGGGGUGAAAUCCCGGAGCUCAACUCCGGAACUGCCAUCAAAACUGGUAGGCUCGAGUCCGGAAGAGGGGCGUGGAAUUCCCAGUGUAGAGGUGAAAUUCGUAGAUAUUGGGAAGAACACCGGUGGCGAAGGCGGCGCCCUGGUCCGGUACUGACGCUGAGGCGCGAAAGCGUGGGGAGCAAACAGG
RNAcentral lists this ribosomal RNA (253 nucleotides) under uncultured bacterium. RNAcentral describes it as "partial 16S ribosomal RNA". It matches the Rfam family "Bacterial small subunit ribosomal RNA", at positions 524 to 776 of the family's 1533-position model. The record is from RNAcentral.